This is a long non-coding RNA of Brienomyrus brachyistius, 1175 nucleotides long. RefSeq lists it as uncharacterized. Lineage: Eukaryota; Metazoa; Chordata; Actinopteri; Osteoglossiformes; Mormyridae. The record is from RefSeq and is a predicted model, not a curated record. The transcript has 3 exons.
UGGACAUCUUCCAAAGCUGCAUGCCAGUCACCCACUUAUGCUCUCAAUGUACCUGAGGCUUCAAGCUCAGUUAAAGAAGCCUGGUGACCCUAAGCACACCUCAAGGUUGGGUAGUAAGUAUUAUCUUGUGAAUACAUAAAGAGAUGGAGUGCUGUGACAGAUGACCUGGUCCCUACAAUCCCCCCAACCUAAACCCUAUGGAGAAGGUUUUGGAUGAGUUGGAUUGAAGAGGAAGGGCAACACAGCUGACUUGUGCCCUGAACUUGUGGAAACUCUUCCAGGACUCUGGGCCAACAGUCUGCAAUGCUGUCAUUGAAGCAAAAGUUAGCUUCUGAAGGUCGGCUGACUGGAGUGAGCUCCUACGCUUCACUGAGGAUCCCUGACUGGCAUAAAUGAGAACCCACCUGAAGAAGAUGUGCCACCCACAGGUGGAGAUCUGCUGAGUGGCCAGGUGCAGAACGCCCAGAUGGAUUAUUAGUAUUCUUUUAAAUAAAGGCUUAAAAUCCAAGCCAUAAAUGACUAAUGCAAGGCGAGUCAGGCCUUGAAAAACGGUACAACAUACAAAUAGUAUAUAAACACUUAACUUGUUUUUGAAGACAGCUAAGAAUCAGCAGCUAAACUGUUCAGAAUAUCCCAUUGGGGUUAAGUAUUCCAUCCACUAUCCAUCCAAUGAUUUUUACUGUAGCAAUUCAGAUGGUUCGCUGUUCUCGAGAUAACAGGUGUAGGGGACGUGUCAUGGGAAUUUAACCGGCAGCUGAAUCUAAAUUUGAUGGCACAUUUUUUUUGCAUUUAAAAUGACCUUUAAAAGCAGCUGACAACACCGUGGUGAUUAAUCAAGGUCACUGCUGUCCUGCUGCCAGACAUUUAGCCACCAUUUAUAUGCAACAGAGAGGGCUGAUCCUGGUACAGAGGGAGAGGUAUUUUCUGUCAGAUUCAUGUGGAUUUUAUGGGAGGGACAUCGGCUUGCUCAUAUUUCACUGCCCUGCAUCACUCCUUCAUACCGUUACCGUUCCUGGCUCCCCCAAGCCCUAUCUUUCACCAAGCCAAGAGUCUGAUGAAAGAAAACUAUCACUGCUGGGCCCCGAAGUCCCAGAAUUCCUUCAGGUCUUCAUUUUAAAAAUAAAAAAGUCACUCUGAAAAUUCGCAUAUCGUCCUGCUGGGCCUCAAACAUCUUU